CCUUGUUCGGAUCGAUUGCACCGCGGGCAGCCCGGUGAACAGGGCUGAUGCUCAGGUCUGCAGCCUUCACCUCCCAAACCUGGCACAGGAACCAAAGGAGCUCAUGACGACAAGGGCUAAAGAAAGAGGUAACCCAGCUGCUCACUCAUCACCGUCUCAUUUCAAUUAUUCUCACGAUUCCACGAUGGGAUCUUGAAGCUUUCUUCCACCCAUCGUCGUCUUCUUAAGUUUGCAGUUAGUCAACCCCCGCCUUCCUCCCCUCCCACCGACGUUCACAUUACCGGGUCAAUUCCUGCUCCGUCUCCGAGAGGGAAUGGAGGAAAAUGUGCUGCUGAUGUGGGAGAUGAACAUGGUUUAUCUACCAGGUUAAAUCUAUGUAUAACCAGCAUACUUGGACCAUCUCAUCACCUAUCUCUUCCAAUCGUUCAACAUAUCCCAUUAAAUCCUUGAUGAGAGGGCGUCAUGGUCCCUACCAGCAAGGACCUUAAUGAAACCAUCUGGGCUUGUUCUCUUUUUUUUUUUCUUUUAACUAAAAAAAUAAGAGAGAGAGAGAGAGAGAGAGAGAGAGAGAGAGAGAGAGAGAGAGAGAGAGAGAGAGAGAGAGAGAGAGAGAGAGAACCUCUUCAAAUGGUAAAAAGAAAACCUAAUGCUUUCAUAGACGAGGGGCAUAAAUAUCAAAAUUUCAAGUAAAAGUGUUACCACCAUGAUAAGAGAAAGGGGGUGCGCAAGUAACAUGCUUAC
This 741-nucleotide long non-coding RNA is filed under the name Spirodela polyrhiza (greater duckweed). Its description in RNAcentral is "long non-coding RNA (SPOL_LNC000954)". Lineage: Eukaryota; Viridiplantae; Streptophyta; Magnoliopsida; Alismatales; Araceae. The record is from RNAcentral.